UACUAGCGUUACUUACUGAUAAAGCUGU
RNAcentral lists this small RNA (28 nucleotides) under Bombyx mori (domestic silkworm). Its description in RNAcentral is "ovarian small RNA-21297". The record is from RNAcentral. Lineage: Eukaryota; Metazoa; Arthropoda; Insecta; Lepidoptera; Bombycidae.